Molecule: ribosomal RNA, 253 nt
Filed under: uncultured bacterium
Lineage: Bacteria
Description: partial 16S ribosomal RNA
Rfam family: Bacterial small subunit ribosomal RNA
Source: RNAcentral
GACGGAGGAUGCAAGCGUUAUCCGGAAUUAUUGGGCGUAAAGGGUGCGUAGGCGGUGCGGUAAGUGCGGUGUGAAAUCCCACGGCUCAACCGUGGAAUUGCGCUGCAUACUGCCGUGCUGGAGGAAGACAGGGGUAAGCGGAACUGAUGGUGGAGCGGUGAAAUGCGUUGAUAUCAUCAGGAACACCGGUGGCGAAAGCGGCUUACUGGGUCUUUUCUGACGCUGAGGCACGAAAGCUAGGGUAGCGAACGGG